Molecule: non-coding RNA, 4837 nt
Organism: Gasterosteus aculeatus aculeatus (three-spined stickleback)
Lineage: Eukaryota; Metazoa; Chordata; Actinopteri; Perciformes; Gasterosteidae
Source: RefSeq, a predicted model, not a curated record
GAAUUAUGGUUCAUGUAGAGUCAAACGGACCAUAAAGCAGGGGAUGCUUUAGGGCGGGGCUAUAUGCUGAUUGACAGGUGUCUGCUAGCCUCAUACGGCGUCUGGAGUCCAAACUUGAGGCUUGAGAACAUUGUUUUUGUUGUUGUUUGGGUCCCUGUGAGGUGUUUAUGUUUCCAUUUUCAGUCAAAAGUCACCGGAACGUGUGGACCUCAAAGGCGAUGAAGUCCAAGCACUGAGGACGGGUCUCUAUGUCCUCGUGUCCCCGCAGACGAGCCAUCGAAGACGCAAAGCACACAAGUAGUCAGCUGACGAGAGGAUUACCGGGAAAAUCCUCUUAUGGAGCCAACCCGAACGGCAUAACCGAACCGGAGGAGAAAAAAACCAUCACACGUGUGAUUAUUCACAUGUGUGUGUGCGGGGGGGGCUGGAGCAUGUCCUUGCCCUUUUCCUUCACAUUCAGGCCCAAAUCUCCUCCUCUGCUAUAUAAAGGGUUGGUCCUCGUUACCCACAUGUCAGAAUCAGUCAGUAUUUGAAUAAAAGAAGACCAGGAGCGAUGUGAGCGCUGAGGAAGAAGCGUUUUCUUUCUGUUCCUAGGCAACGUGGUCUCGCAGCGUCCGGGAGGCUCAGGGGACAGUUCGCUCUGGCGUACGACCCCGUUUCCUUCGCCUCUGAGCCAAUCGCCUGCUAAUCAGACGCUGGCUCGCUGCCGCGCUUUCUCCUCCGCUUCGCAAGCGACAGGAGAGGGGGAGAAGUGAAGCCCCCCCCCCCCGUGCCCGGGUCCACCUCCGCCUACACUGAUGCUUCUAUUUGUGUCGUCCUGUCGGACCGGCGCUGUGUGGGCCGACGCUCCUCUGCCGGAGGAGCAUCGGCCUGAGGAAGGAAACACCGGCGCGCCACCAGCUGUUCCCUCUCACACCAAACAUUCAGGGGAGUCUUGCUGGCGCCGCGGCGGCUCGUGUCAUCGCACAACGGUUUUCACACCCCGGGAGGCGCCGACAAACGAGGCGAGAGAGGAGAAGUCGCUCGUUGGUGAACAGCGCCGUGGCGGUUAGCGAGAGCCGCGCGUGUCGGCUGAGGGGAAGAAAGAACGCGCGGGAACACGUCGGGUAGACGAUCAGGGAACAGCAUGUUCCCCCCGAGUUACCGUCCUCGCUGCUGCGUUCCUCCACCGGAGACCGAUCCAGCUUCCAUAAAAACGACCUCUCAUCUCCGUCACAAACGCUCCCUCGCUCUCAGAAAAAACGCUCCUUCUGGUUUUGUCCUUCAGUAGAAGCUCAAACCGGCUCGAGGUCAUUUGCAUUUGACAAAAAGCAGAGACGGCAUCGGGGACACGUGAUGACGGACGCCGAGUCUGAUGUUAUCGGAACUCGUGUUCGGAGGCCGGGCGCGGUGGGCACGCCGGUCUCUUCUAGUUGACCCUGAUGCAUGCUGGUCUUUGUAGGUAAUCCUGAAUGAGGAAGUCUGAAGGCCAGCAGAGCCCCCGCAGAAACAUGGGGGGGGGCAUUUCACCCCAGACAACCACCGCUUCCUAAAGCGGAAACACAGGAUGUCAAACGUCCCGUGACGCCAAAAAGCCACAAACACGACGGUUAGAGAUAAAAAGGGAAGCGUUACUUUGUUGGGAGCAGAACAUUUGGAUCCUUUUAUUACUUUUUAAACCUUCGUUUGAAGCUCGUUUGAAACAAACCGCCUCCUCCUAUUUUUCCUCAGUUCGAUGUUCGGUGUUGGGAGGUUUUUUUUUUUCCUGCAAGGAGCGUUGGAACCAAAAUUCUUCCUUUACAUGAAUCGAAUGAACCUUCGUUCAGUUGAACUCAUCCAGCCGUGUUUGCAGAAUGAACGUUUUGGUUCAAACAUUAGCGCUUCCUGGCUAAUGCUAACAAAGCUUAAGCUGGGUUUUUCUGCUACGGUUACAGUAGCUUUCCACAUUGGCUCGUAGCCACGCUGUAAAGAUUCCUCACCUGUUGUGCAGGUUCGGCACGUUCACACAUUUUCCUUCUCAGCUUCCCGUAAGAGACUCGUGCGACUCCUCACAUCUCUCGUGUUUUUUUUUUUAAAGCACCUUGUCUGGAAACAAAAGGGCUGACAGCGGCGACAGGUUUUAUUGACACGCACGUUCUCAUCCCCACCUGCAUACCGGUCGGGUGAGGCGGUUGUUUCUCACGGAGAAAAACACCGUGCCGAAACUGUGAGAGGCGGCAGGAGAAGAACACGAGCUUCUACCUUCGUUUAACACUAAAAGAUGAGAAGACGAACAACCAGACGUCUGUAAUCUUCUUGUGUUAACGAGACAGGAAAAGCUUUUCAGAACCGCAGCGGGAGACCCAGAUGUGCCACGGUCUCCCUACUGGACCCCCCCCCCCCCACCCACCACCUCCCGUCUGUGACUGACGCUUCCUCACGUUGGUCCAUUUAGUUACUGUCUCAUCAUCGACCCUCCAUUGGCAUCAACUCCCUCCGGAGUGAGACUGCGUGCAGACAAGCGACAGGAUGCGUCACACGGCCGUUUGACGGCUGUUCUGCCACCGCGUGUCGUACCGAAAGAUCUUACAUGAACACGCGACUCUUAUUUCAACAGGUGGUUCUCCACAACCAUUCUGUAGCGUGCGCCAGUUGAUUCCCGCUGUACUUUCAGAAACUCCAAUAGAAUAAAAAAAAAAAAAUGUCACAAAGUGCAUCGAUCAGAGAUCACGCAGCUCUGCACUCACAGUGCUGGGAAGGGCCAGAGGAGGGAAGGCGUUCACUGCGAUUGCUCACACACACAAAGUGGGCACGUACGCACGCGGACCGACUGCCGCCAGAUAUGAUCAGAGAGCUGCAGGCUUUGGCGAGACUCGCUGCACCCUCGUGUGUCCGGGUCAUCGGGUCCACAUGCAAUUAAUGCUCUUACGCGUCGCUUCGUGCCGCUGUGACCUCCCGCCGCUUCCGUUCGUCCCCCCCCCCACCUGCUCACCGAGGGCCCCCAACAUUUCACAGGCCGCUGUGGGGGGCGAACGGGUCGCUCUCUGAGGUCACGUUAAAGCGUUGGGAAGGAAAAGAGCUAAAGGAUGUUUCAUUUAGCUUCGACAUUAUCUUAAUGGAACAGUGCGUUGUUGUUGCCGGGUGGAUUUUCUCCCUCUCUCUCCCUCUCUCCCUCUCUCUCCCCUCUCUCUCUCUCUCUCUCCUGCACACCACCGACUGGCUGCAUGUCACCCAGAUCACAGUCAAGAACCCUCCCUCACAAUCAUUCCAGUUGCUGAAUAAUACAAAGCAAACAGUGACCUACUUUCGGGAGCAGGGAACAAGCGAGAGGGAAGAGCCGGAGUGGAGUCCGGCGGGAGGCGGACCGGGCGGAGGAGCCGAGGCGGAGCAGGAGGCGGAGCAGCAGGAGGCGGGGGGGCGGCCUUCGUUUGAAAGCCUCCUUUCUGCACACUUUGUGAGCCUCCUGCAUUCCUGCAUUCUGCCCUUUGCUCCCUCUGCAGCUGCAGAGCGACGUGGAGCCGCGGCACAAAUGUGACAGACAGAAAAACAAAACAUGAACCAGAGAGUCGGUUGUCCUGGAGACAUGAUGCACCUACUUCACUGGAGGCCUUACAUCAUUGUUGUGCUGCAAAUGUUACAAAACGGAAAAAGGUGGAUGGGUGUCGCAUCCCGGAGUCCUCAGCAUCCUGGAGUCCUGCAGCAUCCUGUAGUACUCAGCAUCCUGUAGUCCUGCAGCAUCCUGUAGUACUCAGCAUCCUGUAGUCCUGCAGCAUCCUGUAGUACUCAGCAUCCUGUAGUCCUCAGCAUCCUGGAGUUCUGUAGCAUCCUUUAGUCCUCAGCAUCCUACAGUCUUCAGCAUCAUGGAGUCCUCAGCAUCAUGGAGUCCUCAGCAUCCUGGAGUCCUGCAGCAUCCUGUAGUCCUGCAGCAUCCUGUAGUCCUGCAGCAUCCUGGAGUUCUGUAGCAUCCUGUAGUCCUCAGCAUCCUGUAGUUCUGUAGCAUCCUGGAGUUCUGCAGCAUCCUGGAGUCCUCAGCAUCCUGGAGUCCUCAGCAUCCUGGAGUCCUCAGCAUCCUGGAGUCCUCAGCAUCCUGGAGUCCUCAGCAUCCUGUAAUUCUGCAGCAUCCUGGAGUUCUGUAGCAUCCUGUAGUCCUCAGCAUCCUUUAGUCCUCAGCAUCAUGGAGUCCUCAGCAUCCUGGAGUUCUGUAGCAUCCUUUAGUCCUCAGCAUCCUGGAGUCCUCAGCAUCCUGGAGUCCUCAGCAUCCUGGAGUUCUGCAGCAUCCUGUAUUCCUCAGCAUCCUUUAGUCCUCAGCAUCCUGUAUUCCUCAGCAUCCUUUAGUCCUCAGCAUCCUGGAGUUCUGUAGCAUCCUGUAGUCCUCAGCAUCCUGGAGUCCUCAGCAUCCUGUAGUUCUGCAGCAUCCUGGAGUUAGGGGGUCCUGCAUGUCGGACUUCUCGUGAAGCAUUCCGCUCUGUGAAAGAAGAAGCAUUCUGUACUUGACACAGGAUAGAAAACAAUUAAUUAAAAAACAUGAAGAUCCAUCAUCUGAGGACCAUGAAUAUGAAGAUUACUUAUUGUGAUAUUUACAGUACCAGCAAAGAUUUUGACACAUUUUCUCAUUCAAUUCCAUCAGAAUGUGUAUCCAACCCUUUGACUGGUUCUGUGUGUAAGUGUAGGUAAAAGGAAAAGUUUGGAUUAGAGAAGCAAUCCAUUAUCUACUAUUAUCGAAUUUUAAUAAAACUAAAACUUGCCAAAGAAUUUGGAUGCUAGAUAUUUGAUUAUAUAUGUAUAACAUAGCAAACCUUUCUGUGUGACACAAGAAGAAAUGACUCAACGUUUGAAUUCCAAAUAAAAAAGCUGAAGUGCAGCAUAACGGGCCUCACAU